ACUCAAAUGAAUUGACGGGGGCCCGCACAAGCGGUGGAGCAUGUGGAUUAAUUCGUCACUAACCGAAGAACCUUACCCAGGCUUGACAUCGAGGGAAAGCCGGUGAAAGCCGGUCCUCCCCGCAAGGGGACCCGAAGACAGGUGUUGCAUGGCUGUCGUCAGCUCGUGUCGUGAGAUGUUGGGUUAAGUCCCGCAACGAGCGCAACCCUCACCGUAUGUUGCCAGCGUCAAGUCGGGCACUCUUACGGAACUGCCCGUGCAAGCGGGAGGAAGGUGGGGACGACGUCAAGUCGGCAUGGCCCUUACGCCUGGGGCUUCACACAUGCUACAAUGGCCGGUACAGAGGGCUGCGAUCCCGCGAGGGGGAGCGAAUCCCACAAAGCCGGCCCCAGUUCGGAUCGCGGGCUGCAACUCGCCCGCGUGAAGCCGGAAUCGCUAGUAACCGCAGGUCAGCUAAACUGCGGUGAAUACGUUCCCGGGCCUUGUACACACCGCCCGU
This 499-nucleotide ribosomal RNA is filed under the name uncultured bacterium. RNAcentral describes it as "partial 16S ribosomal RNA". It matches the Rfam family "Bacterial small subunit ribosomal RNA", at positions 899 to 1397 of the family's 1533-position model. The record is from RNAcentral.